GUCCCUUUCGUCUAGAGGUCAGGACAUCGCUUUUUCAAGGCGGUAACGCGGGUUCAAUUCCCGCAAGGGGCA
This 72-nucleotide transfer RNA is filed under the name Ostreobium quekettii. RNAcentral's name for it is "tRNA-Glu". It matches the Rfam family "tRNA". From Rfam's summary of the family: Transfer RNA (tRNA) molecules are approximately 80 nucleotides in length. Their secondary structure includes four short double-helical elements and three loops (D, anti-codon, and T loops). Further hydrogen bonds mediate the characteristic L-shaped molecular structure. tRNAs have two regions of fundamental functional importance: the anti-codon, which is responsible for specific mRNA codon recognition, and the 3' end, to which the tRNAs corresponding amino acid is attached (by aminoacyl-tRNA synthetases). tRNAs cope with the degeneracy of the genetic code in two manners: having more than one tRNA (with a specific anti-codon) for a particular amino acid; and 'wobble' base-pairing, i.e. permitting non-standard base-pairing at the 3rd anti-codon position. Lineage: Eukaryota; Viridiplantae; Chlorophyta; Ulvophyceae; Bryopsidales; Ostreobiaceae. The record is from RNAcentral.